GGGCCCGCACAAGCGGCGGAGCAUGCGGAUUAAUUCGAUGCAACGCGAAGAACCUUACCAAGGCUUGACAUGAACCGGAAACACCUGGAAACAGGUGCCCCGCUUGCGGUCGGUUUACAGGUGGUGCAUGGUUGUCGUCAGCUCGUGUCGUGAGAUGUUGGGUUAAGUCCCGCAACGAGCGCAACCCUCGUUCCAUGUUGCCAGCACGUGAUGGUGGGGACUCAUGGGAGACUGCCGGGGUCAACUCGGAGGAAGGUGGGGAUGACGUCAAAUCAUCAUGCCCCUUAUGUCUAGGGCUGCAAACAUGCUACAAUGGCCGGUACAAAGGGCUGCGAUACCGCGAGGUGGAGCGAAUCCCAAAAAGCCGGUCUCAGUUCGGAUUGGGGUCUGCAACUCGACCCCGUGAAGUUGGAGUCGCUAGUAAUCGCAGA
Molecule: ribosomal RNA, 431 nt
Filed under: uncultured Actinomycetes bacterium
Lineage: Bacteria; Bacillati; Actinomycetota; Actinomycetes
Description: bacterial SSU rRNA
Rfam family: Bacterial small subunit ribosomal RNA
Source: RNAcentral